Molecule: long non-coding RNA, 304 nt
Filed under: Crocodylus porosus (Australian saltwater crocodile)
Lineage: Eukaryota; Metazoa; Chordata; Crocodylia; Crocodylidae
Description: lncRNA (ENSCPRG00005015916.1)
Source: RNAcentral
CCCGUCUAAGGAAGGGUUAAGGAAAUAACAAAUACCCCCUCAAGAUUUUCCGGGAAAAAAAACAACACUGAAGAUAAGCACAUAGAAACCUCAAACAGCAGGCCUUCUGUUAAGUAUGUGACAGAAAUUUCCCUGCUCGAGGCAGCUGUUCUGGCCAUUCACAGAAGGAAACAUCCUUACUGAUCAACUGCAAGAGAGUGCUGGAGGCAGCUGCAAGGUGACCACCGCACUGACCUCACCCAUUACAGAUGACUCCAACGUGUUAAGAAACAGCCAAGUGAGAUGGAGAUGGGAAGAAAUAAAA